Molecule: long non-coding RNA, 10198 nt
Organism: Solenopsis invicta (red fire ant)
Lineage: Eukaryota; Metazoa; Arthropoda; Insecta; Hymenoptera; Formicidae
Exons: 2
Source: RefSeq, a predicted model, not a curated record
GAAUUAAAUGUAUAUGUUUUUUUUCCUUUAUCUUCAUGUAAUAAAUGUUCAUCAAAUAUAAUUACAUAGCUGGUGGAUUAUCAUAUAAAUGUUUAUUUCCAUUUUCUUUGCUACUUUAUGUCAGUUUGAUUGUGAGAUGUUAUUUUGCUUCUUCAAGUAUAUUAACAAUUGCUAUACAAUAUAAAUAAAUAAUCUUUUUUAUAUAAUCAUACUUUUUCGUUCAUUUUAUUUGAUCGUGAGAAUUUCCGCGUUAGUUUUUUUCACUAUGCUAACUCAAACAUAAAAUAUAAAUUACUGGAAUUGUUUGUAACAAACAAACUCUGUAGAAUUUGUUUAAUAAAACCAAACAUUUUUUGAAAAAAAAAUAGUAAAAAAAAUGAUGGAAAUUCAAUAAAAUUAAUAAAAGUAAGUGUAGUAAGUAGCUUGAAUGUUAAAUUUAUAAUAAAGUUAUAAAUUAAAAUUGAGCUUUCAUAUAUAUAUAUAUAUAUCUAAAUCAAAUAAACGUUUUUAUUAUUUUAAAAUAUCUAUAAGUUUUAUUAUCAUCAAGUCUUUGCAUUAAAUAUCUGUUUAUUUUAAAAAUACUUUAUGUUUUAUUAAACUAUUUUUCUUUUAACAUUCUCUGGUUAAGUUCUUUAUUCCAUACACUGGUUUUUUAUAUUUUUAAGAAUUUCUUGAAGACGUAUUUUCCAGAGCAUCAUAUAUUUUUCAUAAGAUACUUGGUCUAUUCAUGUUACAAAAUCAUAUUAUAUUUUAUUUGAGAAAUGUAUAGUACUUAGAAUAUCAAAAUAUUAUGAACUAUAUACAUAUAUGGUACGUAUAAAUUUUAUAUUUGCUUAUUUUUGUUAACACACGACUUUAUGAUAUCGUUUUCCUUUUAGUGAAAACAGAUUUGUUUAAAUAAUACUAUUUUAAUAUAUUUCUUUCAUUGAUAUUCUUUGCUUUCAGUUGUUAUAUGAUUUUUAAUAUUUUUAAAUCUAUGUUUAUAUACGGCAAAACAAACGACAUCAUUAUCCAGUUUUAUACUUUUUUUAAGCUAUUUACUAUGUAUUAUAGUUAUAUAUGUCUCAUCAAUAAUCCUAUUCCAAGUAUUCUCUGAUAUAAACAUUGAUGUAAGUGGAUAACAAAAUUUUUUACGAUUUACCAUUUCCGUAUGAACGAUCGUAGAAUUUUUUUAAUAAGCUUAUCAUUUUAAUGACAAAAAGAUUUGUUUAAAAACAUAAGUAUUAUAUAUUAAAGGAGUAUAACAGUAUAAAUGUCUAGAGCGAGAAAAUGUAAAAAUGGAAGAGAUACGAGCUUAUUAUUUCUUUUUAUUAACAUUUUUCCUAAUUUGUAUUUAAAUCUUUCACAGAAUUUCUUACGGAAUGGUUCUUCAUUACAUUUUUUAUCUAGCUGUGCUUUAUAUGAAUGUCUUUUAAAAUGCAAUCCUAUUUCUUUUUCUGAAUCAUGUCUUUUGACAGACCAAGAUUAAUACUUUUUAUGCAUAUGCAGAUCUUUAUAUAUGUAGCGGUCGUCCAUAUAACGUUUCAAUUCUCGGAAACGAUCGUUGAAUUUUAUUAAUAUUUAAUCUUUCUCAUAAUAAAAAGGCUUGAUUAAAUGAUUACAAAUAUUAGGUCUGUAGCAGACAAAUUGUAGAGUUUAUUUAUAUGUCGAAAUCUGACAAUGUGAAUCAAGAGAAAAAAAAUUAUAAUAAAAUUCAAAAAAAUUAAUAAAAACUAAAAAAGAAGAAAGAAAAAUCUGACAAAAUAUUUGAAAAAACAAGAUAUUUGAAUAAAAAAAGACAUUGAUGCUAUAUAUUGUUUUAGAAAAGAGGAUCAAAAAGAAUAAGAAAAAUAAAAUGUUAGAAAUAUACGUAUUGAUAUAUUUGAGAAAUUCGAAUUUUGUUAUUUUAUCAAAUGUUUUAAUAUUUUCUUUAUAAUAUUGCAAUAAAAUUUCUAAAGAUAUUGCUAAUAAUUAUAAUAUUAGCAGCUGUAAUUCCAUUUGAAACUUAUCUAAGGAUAUACAGAAAAAAGAUACCGUAACUGCUCCAAAUUAGAGCAGAUCUUUCGCAUUUUAUCCAAGAGAAGAGAACGCGUAGAAAAUAUCAUCAGAUUUUCAACAUAUAUAUUUAUAUAUAUCAUAUAAUUAUAAAAAUAUAAAAACACUUAAAUUAAUUCAAGACUUUCGAAAGUUCAACAAUUAGUAAUUGGACAUAUAAAAUUAAAAAAAGAAACAGAGUUAUGAUGCAUUUUUCAGCGUAAAUUCAAACAAUUAAGUUAAUUCAGGACUUUUGAAAUUUGAACCAAUAGAAAUUGGAUAUAUAAAGUUAAAAAAAGAUACAAUGUUUUAAUACAUUUUGCAGCCAAUUUCUAAUUGUUGAAAUUUCAAAAGUCCCGAACUAAUUUAAUUGUUUAAAUUUACGCUAGCUGCAAAAUUCUUUGAAAUACUGCAUUUUUUUUUAACUUUAUGUGUUCAAUUUCUAAUUGUUAACAAUAUAACAAAAAAAUCAAAUGCCUAUUUUUAGGGUAUCGAUCACGUAACCGUUUUUUUUAGCGGAAACGUGAAAAGUGGAGAUUUUUACCAUUGAAAUUAAUAAAGAAAUUUCUCAUUUUUCACGUUUUCGCCCUAGAGAAAAUGUUUCAUCAGAAUCCAGCGCUAUGCGAAAUUCAAAGUUCCCGUAUUAUUAAUGCGUACACUUCUUUUUUUUCGUCAAAUGCAACUGUAAUUUCCUUGCGUCAACGGAUAAACAUUUGCUUAUUAAAUUACAUUUUAGUAUGUUUUCAAACAUAUAGUGAUGUUAUUUUAAUUUAUCAAGCAUUUCAUAACAAGUCAAGAUUAAUUUCUAUGUAUAACUAACUAAGACUUUUUCAAACACUUAUUUAAUUUCUCGUUCGUUCGGAUAUAGUCGUGAGAUCCAUUAAUAACCAAUUUUUUCAUUACUCUUGCUCAAUGGAAAAUAUAUAAGUGACAGAGCAAAAGGCAGACUGUAAAGUCCAUUUACUUAUUGGAACUACGCGAUCGAAAUAACAAAAAGAAUAUUGACAAAAGUUUAAUAAAAUUAACAAAAGAUGAAUAGAAAGUUUGAUAAUUGAGAAAAAUUUCAACCAAGUGCAGUAUUUAUAGAAAAAAAAAACAAUAAAAAAAUCUCAGGUAAUUAGAAGAAAAGACGAAGGAGAAAGAUGACGAAACGAUAUUUGAACUUUGACUUUUAUUAUUUAAAAAAAUCGGAUUUUACAGUAUCAUUUAAAUAUGAAACUGUAGUUUACAAGUACACUCGUAAACAUUUUGCUGAUAAUCGUGACUGAUACUGGCCACCAUUUUAAUUCCAUCCCAACUUUGUCAAAAGAAAACCUCGACAAAUAAAACAUCGACGGAUAAAGCAUCGACGAGUGAAUCAUUGACAGACGAAACAUUGACAGAUGGAUGGCCAAGUCCACGGCAUAUUAUAGUUGUUCCGAAUAGAAAUGUCGUUGCUCGUCCGGAUGGUUAGAGGAAAGAUCAGCAUAGAAGGUGUCACGAUAUUCUUUAACAUAGUGUCAGGUAAAUACUAAUUUAAGAUUCGAUGUUUAUUUCUGUCUUAUACACGAUGCUUGGGAAUAUAAAAAGCGAGAGGUGACAUUUCUUAUCGAAAAAUUGAUUGAACAAUCAUUAUUUUUUUCUUUUCGCAGAAAUGGAAAGUAAUACGUUACAAGUAGAAUCCGAUCGAAACAAUCUUUUUUAAUUUUCGCCGAAACCGAGAACGAAUAUUGGGUUAUGUGUCAAUCAUUUUGCAUGAAACCGAAACUUUCAUGGAAAUGGAUUCUUUUCUAGAAAGGAAUUCUCCAAUUUGGGAUAUGUAUAGAAGCGAAUAUAUAAAUACUGCUUACCUCUUUCUUCAUUUUAUUGUACUCAAAAUUGUUGCGAAUUAUAACUCGAUGAACUUUAGUUACAUCAAAACUCCCUUUCAGUUUCGUCCGAAAUCGAAACCGAAUUUUUCGUCGGAUUCCCGUUACGAGUACCGCAUCGCCGUUGCUUUUACUUUUUUAUACUAACGAUUUUGUAAUGACAUUACAAUUUUGCAUAAUGGUAGUGGUAAUGCGUUGACAUAAUCCCUUUGACAAGUAAUUCGUUACUAUUACUCAUUAGUUACCUCGUUACGUGAUUAAUGUUACUAAUCCGUUACGAAUAAAGUAACAAGUUACAUUUUUUUCAAUGAGUAUAUACAUAUUACGUGCACGCGUAAUUGUAAUGAGUUACUUGUUAAAAAAGUGACUAUUCCAACUCUGACUUUACCAUUAUGAAAAACGGCAUAACGUCAUUAUCAAAUUGUUAUUAUAUAAAAGUAAUGAGUUGUGUAUAACGACGUUAUUCGUAACACAACUCAUUACUUUUAUCCCUGAUAAUGAUGUUAUUCUACUUCGUCAAGCGUCUCACAAUACGUCAAAGUUAAUUGCUAUGUACAAUUAGCUAAACGUUUUUUAAACAUUCAUUUGGCUUUUUGUUUCGAAUGGAAAAUUCCGUUUGUAGUGAAAAAAACCAGUUUUUUUUUUUUAAUACGCUUACUCAAUAAAAGAAAUAUACAUGACGGAUUUGGAAAAGGUAGACUCUCCAGGGUACGUUUACUGGAACAAAACGGUCAAAAUAAUGAAUGAAAGAAAUAUUCAAUAAAAUUAUCAAAAGAUAAAUAGAAGGAUAAUUGACAAAAAUUUCAAGUAAACACAGUAUUCACGGGAGAAAAAAAAAUAAAAAGUCUGAAAUGUUUAGAGAAAAAGUUAACUUAUUGUUAGAUAAAACGUAGCAAACAAUAUUUAAAUGUUGACUUUCCAAUCUUUUUGUUACUUCAAAAAUAAGGUUUAAUUUAAACAUAAACUUGCUCAUAAACAGUUUGUUUGAUAAUCGUAAUACUGGUUGUAAUUCCACCUUGAAUUUGUCGAGCGGAAACAGACGGAUGAAACGUCGACAGACAAAACAUUAACAGAUGCAUGGUAUAUUGUAGUUGUUCCGAAUGGAAAAGUUGUUACCGCUUGUCAAGAGGGUGGAAUCGGAGGAAAGAUCAGCGAUGUCGCGAUGUUUAACGUAGUACCGAGUAAUUUAAGAUUGGAUUUCUAAUUUAAAAUUGGAUAUUUAUUUCUGUUUUACAUACAGCGUUUGGUAAUAUAGCGAGAGAGUAAGAUAACGUUCCUUGUUAAAAACUGAUCGAAACAUCAAUUUUUCCACUAAGAUUUAAUUUCGCAUUAUAUUUUUUCUUAGCUCUUUUGAAUAUUAAAUGUUUUAUAAUAAUUAAAGAUUUGCCAAAAUAAUUUUAAUCAAUAUAAAAAACUACUUAUGUUCCAACAUAUUUAGCAAAGAGAGUUUCCGGGAACAUUUUUUAAUAUAUUAAUUAUAUAUAAUUAUUUAUAAAAUAUGUGUAAUUUAUAUAGAUUUUAAUAUAUAUGGACAUUUUAUAUAUAAUUAUAUGUAAAAUUAUAUAUACAUAAUAAAUAUAUAUGAAAAGUAUAUAAUAAUUAUAUAUAAUAAUUAUACAUAAUUUUAUGUAAUCAUCAUAUAUAAGUAUAUACAAAAAAGUAUUUUGCCGGGUUGUUUGAAUUUUUGACAAAAGAAAUAACGCUAUACGUGCCAGAUGCGUUAUUGCUGAACACUUCGUGUAAAAUAAAAUUUCAAGUUGAAUCUAACAAUGUCAGAACAUUUUAUAACGCAAGUUUAAUCUAAAUAAUAAAAAAAUCGGGGAAAAAUGAAGUUCCUUCUUUUGAGUCUGAUAAACUCUUGCAGUUUUCUUGCUGUCUUUUCUCUUGUGCGAACUUGUUGUUUCCAACGUCUCUGUAAUAGAUAGCGAACUCGGGAAAUGCGUAACUUACUGAUAUAUUAUCCUUGUUUAUUUGAGUUUAACCCGCGGGAAAAAUUAACUGAAAGUUGCUUAAAGGACGUAUGUAUUCACGUUCUCGCGACAGCGAUAUUCGAAAAUCAUAGCAAUGGCCUAUACAAUCCGGAUAGUCCACCACACGUCCAGUCUUCUCGAUUCGAUUACGAAUUAAGAAGUAACCGUCAGAAAAAAAAUCUCAUUUAUAUUAAAAACACGUAGCCAUUCGCAUCAAACCGCUCAACCGCUGAGGAACUCUCAACAAAGUAUGAAGCUGCUCGGGAUUUUUUAAUUUACUUUUAUUUUUUUAUUUGGAAAUUCCAACUAUUUCCGCAUUCACGUGCAAGAAGUUUCUCUAGUUUGAUGAAGUUUAACGAUUUCAAAUGAACGCACGAAGGAAUGAGAGCGAUUCUGCGGGGUUGGCUGGACGGUAGAUCUUUGAAAACUCCCGCUAGUUACGACAGUUUGUUGGUGGGCAACUUCUAGUAAUAUCGACAAGGUUGCGUCCGAGCGAGUUGGCAACUUCAGUGUAACUUUCCACCGUCCGUUCCACCCACACACUUGUUGCCCCCCUUGUAUGCUUGCGGGGGCAAGUAAGAGUGUGAUGGGUGAGCUAUCAUUAGCUCGGCAUUAUGCGACUAUGUGGUUGCCUUUUGUGUUCUCUUCGCUCUCGUGCCCCGUGCACAGUUUCGCCGAAUCUCUCAAAGGAAAACAAGAUCAUGAACUCCCCAUAUAUUUCACUGUCGGGAAAACGGCGUACCUCUUCUUACUGUCUGUAUCAGUGAAUAUCCGGCCGCCAGUCAACAGAUCUCUAAAUACUCGUGCUUAGAUUUCUAAAUAGGGUAACUGCGGUAUACAUGCCGCACCUAUCCAAAACUUAUUGUAUCAAGUAUUAUUUACUAAGCUUUAAAAAAAAUAAAUUAUACCAACAGAGGGUUCGUAUUGUUUACUAUAAAAAAAGCUUAGAAGGAUAAAAUAUUAAUUUUUUUAUACAUUGUGAAAAAAAAUGUUAAAAAACUUUACAGUUUGCUAUAUAUCUUAUAGGGAUUUGAAAUGGGUUCUGAUCGAAGUGGUGCGCUGCUGAAGCUUCAAUUAAGAAUCAUUUAAAGUUCCAAAGUAGCGGCCACAUUAAACUUGUGACGAGAAAUCACACGAACUUUCUUGUCAUUUGUAAGUAAAGAGAAUUUGGAUAAAACAGAUUCAUGAGGUCACUUUAAAACACUUGUAAAAACGGGCCUCAACUAUUUUUUUUCUCCACUAACAGUCAAUAAAUAAUAAAUAGUUGUAAAAGGCACGUGAAGUGAAGGCUAUUCAGACAGAAAAACAUACGGUUGAGCUGACGUUUCUUACGUGCCAUUUGUAAAUAAAAAGAAUUUGGCUAAAACAAAAUAAUGAAAUCGUUUUAAAACACUUGCGGAAAUGGGCUUCUCCACUCUUCUUUUCUUCUCCCGACAGUCAGUAAAUAGUCGUGAAAGGCACGUGAAGUGAAGCCUAUUCAGGCAAGAAAACACACGGAGAGCUGUUGAAAGGAGUGAAAAAUACGCUUCUACGUAUAAAAACCAAAGAUAAUUUCAUUUGCGGCUUAUUUUUAUAAUUUUGGUCAAAACAAGACAAUUUCACAUUUCCACAAUGAAGCAUAACAACGCAAUGACGGGCAAAAUAAAAUUUUAUCAUCAAUACGUCACUUUUUACGCCUAUUAGUUCUAAUUUUUUCCGUAAUAUUAUGUCGCUACGGUCAACGCGGGGUUCUCGGUCAACUAAUCAAGAUAGAAGAACAUCUUAUAGGAGUGAGAUAUAUGGUUACUUAUGUGUGCUUAUAUCAGCACAGUCCUCCAAGGGAUGUCCUAAAAAUGUCCAAAUAAAAUCCUAAAGAUGUGCCUUGAAUAAAGUGUGUAUAGGUGGGAUAAACGGCAAAUAGACAAUUUACAAAUAAUGAUAAUAAACAGAUAUAAAAUGACAUAAUUUAUGAAAUGUGUUCACAACGUUCAUUAGAGAACGAUAAACAUAUACGAAAUAAUAAUAAUGCAAUAUUAAAGAGGUUAUGUGCAGAGUUAUUAAGUAAAGCGUAGAUACGUACAUACACUUUGUAUGCUCUGCAUAAAAGUAAAUAGUGCCUCCCAAUUAUAGAGCGUCUGUACCGCGACAUUAAUUCUCGUCAGUUCAAAAUAGGGUCAAUUUGAUUCCAUAAUUUAAUUUUUACAUUUUUUUGCAUUUAAAAUGUAUAGCACAAUAAAUUUUAUGUUCUGUUUUUUAUCAUUUUCUUGUGCUUUUAUGGAAAUUUUCAAAAUUCUACAUCUUUUUUUUUUCCAAAAAUGACAAAUAAAGUCUCAUUAACUCCAUCUUGAGCAUUCAUGUUAAGAUCAUGAAAAUGCUAAUGUUGGUAUAAUUACAAUUAUACUUGGAGUUUUAGAAAUUAAGUCUUGUUAUAUAAUUUUAAAUUUGUGUUUCUAAUAAAUGUUACUAGUUGCUUUAAUUAUAAUUGUAAUUAGUUAUAUUAUUCUGAAAAACUUUGUGUUUCUAAUGUUGAGAGUUUUGCACUACUAUUUAUUUAUUUUUAUCAACAAUUUUUAAGCCUAAAAACAAUGAAAAUCUAUAAAGGUCAAAAUAAUCCCAUAGGAGCAUUUAGAAAAAUUUACAAUGGAUCAACGAGGAUUAAGUCCAGCGAGGCUUAAUAUAAAAGAAUGUUGUAUAUCCCAAACAGAGAUAAGAUGUACAAGACAUCAAACUAAAUGAACAAUAUAAGAAUAAUUUGUUAUGACCAAUUAUAUCAACACACAUUUACAUGGAGAAAAAUGGCUAAUCGAUCAAAAGCGGAUCUUAGUGCUCAAUAAUAAUUUUCGAAGUGAAUUUAUAUACCUCAAAAUUAUUUAUAUAUAAUUAAUAUCACAGAUUAAAUUGCUAGUCAAUAAUAUUGGAGUUACCCUACUUAUUGUUGCCCUACACAUUGAGUUCUUGAUGCCAACUAGAUUAGCUUUUAAACAUUUUGAUUCUAAUAUUUUAUAGUAAUGACGUAUAAUAUUGAAAAAUUAUAUUUUAAUUAUUAUAUAUUACAUUUUUUUAUAAAAAUUAAUAUCAAUAUUUGUUAUCAGUUUUUACUACUCUUCUUGUAUUUGAUUUUACUAAAAUGUUAAUUAAAGCUAAUUAUCAAAAAAUUAAAGUUUGAUUAACCAGAAAUUUAAUUAUUUAAUAAUAUUUUCAUAAUUUCAUUUUACGUUUUAGAAUAAAGAAUUUUGCGAUACUAGGCAGGGAAAGAAAAAGAAAGAAAGAGAGAAAGAUAGAGAACCCAUAAGGCGCUUUUCUUUAGAAAGUGCACUUUCAUGACAGAAAAGACAUAAGCUUCUCUACUUCUUUAUCAACUAUAAGUACAAUGCGUCGCGAUGCACUGGAAUAAUAAAUAUAACAAUAAACUGAUUCGAUAGGACAGGACAUUCUCCACAAGCUCAGUUUGAUAAAGGAAUAAAAUAAAAAUAUUGAAUAAAUAGUGUACACAGAAUACCUCGAUAAAACUCUAUUUCUUUUUUUUUCUGCCUAUAACAGUUUUCAUAUAUUAUGAAAAACUAUUCUUCCGCGUUUUCUUGUCUCGAUAAAUAUACAAUUCUUCCUCGUGGGAAAUGCGUCACGCUUUAUUUUCUUAUUCCAGCGCACCUAAACUAUGCAUUACUAUCCAUACACUGACAAAAAGAUCAAUCACCAAUGGUUGUUAAGUAUAGAAUUUACAUUUAAAUCAGGUACUCAGUUAAAUUAAUUCACAUUAUUCAUUCACGAUAGAAUCCCCCUCAAAAGCGGAUUAAAAAGAAUGUAUUUUGUCAAAACGUUGAAGUUUUGUUACUUCUGUAAAUAACUUUUAAAUAUGUAACAACUGCUUUUUCAGGGAAAACGCUGACUUUAAGUUUGCUUAAGAAAUCGUAAUCGAAACCGUCAAGUUGUUCAAUAUCUAGGUACUUGGUUCGAGGAAACCUAUAUAUUGUGCAAUCCCCCUCGAGAACUUAUUACGUUUAAAAUAUCGGGUAUCGCCAGAUUUUCUUCAUUUAUCUCUUAUUUUUCUUUUCUUCCCUUUAGAUUCAUUAACGAAAAAGACAUAUCUAUUGUGAAACGCGCUCGGAAAAUGAUAUCUUCAUAAUUUUUGCGGGAAAGUGGAACAUCGAGAAAUGUAACUGAAUAUUAUCCAAUCUUUAAAUUGAGAGCGUCAUUAAAAAAAUUCAAUGUGAAUAUUACGCGAUCCUUCAUAUUACUUUUCUCUUUUUACAUUGCGACGGUUUUUUACGCAAAUGGUACCAAUCUGCUGAUCAAAUUUACGUCGUAAUUACGAACAAAUUGACAAGUCGGAUCUAAAUUGACACAUUGAAUGAAAAUGGUUUCCAGAUGUUGCGAGGAGAGCGAUCGAAA